GUUGAUAGGCUCGGGGUGUAAGCUCAGUAAUGGGUGUAGCUGACGAGUACUAAUCGGUCGAGGGCUUAUCCUA
RNAcentral lists this ribosomal RNA (73 nucleotides) under Cohnella sp. OV330. RNAcentral's name for it is "23S rRNA. Bacterial LSU". The record is from RNAcentral. Lineage: Bacteria; Bacillati; Bacillota; Bacilli; Caryophanales; Paenibacillaceae.